This 1363-nucleotide ribosomal RNA is filed under the name Escherichia coli. RNAcentral's name for it is "partial 23S ribosomal RNA". It matches the Rfam family "Bacterial large subunit ribosomal RNA", at positions 1604 to 2925 of the family's 2925-position model. Lineage: Bacteria; Pseudomonadati; Pseudomonadota; Gammaproteobacteria; Enterobacterales; Enterobacteriaceae. The record is from RNAcentral.
GCUUCCAGGAAAAGCCUCUAAGCAUCAGGUAACAUCAAAUCGUACCCCAAACCGACACAGGUGGUCAGGUAGAGAAUACCAAGGCGCUUGAGAGAACUCGGGUGAAGGAACUAGGCAAAAUGGUGCCGUAACUUCGGGAGAAGGCACGCUGAUAUGUAGGUGAAGUCCCUCGCGGAUGGAGCUGAAAUCAGUCGAAGAUACCAGCUGGCUGCAACUGUUUAUUAAAAACACAGCACUGUGCAAACACGAAAGUGGACGUAUACGGUGUGACGCCUGCCCGGUGCCGGAAGGUUAAUUGAUGGGGUCAGCGCAAGCGAAGCUCUUGAUCGAAGCCCCGGUAAACGGCGGCCGUAACUAUAACGGUCCUAAGGUAGCGAAAUUCCUUGUCGGGUAAGUUCCGACCUGCACGAAUGGCGUAAUGAUGGCCAGGCUGUCUCCACCCGAGACUCAGUGAAAUUGAACUCGCUGUGAAGAUGCAGUGUACCCGCGGCAAGACGGAAAGACCCCGUGAACCUUUACUAUAGCUUGACACUGAACAUUGAGCCUUGAUGUGUAGGAUAGGUGGGAGGCUUUGAAGUGUGGACGCCAGUCUGCAUGGAGCCGACCUUGAAAUACCACCCUUUAAUGUUUGAUGUUCUAACGUGGACCCGUGAUCCGGGUUGCGGACAGUGUCUGGUGGGUAGUUUGACUGGGGCGGUCUCCUCCUAAAGAGUAACGGAGGAGCACGAAGGUUGGCUAAUCCUGGUCGGACAUCAGGAGGUUAGUGCAAUGGCAUAAGCCAGCUUGACUGCGAGCGUGACGGCGCGAGCAGGUGCGAAAGCAGGUCAUAGUGAUCCGGUGGUUCUGAAUGGAAGGGCCAUCGCUCAACGGAUAAAAGGUACUCCGGGGAUAACAGGCUGAUACCGCCCAAGAGUUCAUAUCGACGGCGGUGUUUGGCACCUCGAUGUCGGCUCAUCACAUCCUGGGGCUGAAGUAGGUCCCAAGGGUAUGGCUGUUCGCCAUUUAAAGUGGUACGCGAGCUGGGUUUAGAACGUCGUGAGACAGUUCGGUCCCUAUCUGCCGUGGGCGCUGGAGAACUGAGGGGGGCUGCUCCUAGUACGAGAGGACCGGAGUGGACGCAUCACUGGUGUUCGGGUUGUCAUGCCAAUGGCACUGCCCGGUAGCUAAAUGCGGAAGAGAUAAGUGCUGAAAGCAUCUAAGCACGAAACUUGCCCCGAGAUGAGUUCUCCCUGACCCUUUAAGGGUCCUGAAGGAACGUUGAAGACGACGACGUUGAUAGGCCGGGUGUGUAAGCGCAGCGAUGCGUUGAGCUAACCGGUACUAAUGAACCGUGAGGCUUAACCUUACAACGCCGAAGGUGUUU